UAGAAUUCAAACUCUCUUUGGGGCCUGUAGUAUGUUCCAAGGGUUGGGCUGUUCGCCCAUUAAAGCGGUAUGUGAGUUGGGUUCAGAACAUCGUGAGAUAGUUC
This 104-nucleotide non-coding RNA is filed under the name Morus notabilis. Its description in RNAcentral is "Bacterial large subunit ribosomal RNA". It matches the Rfam family "Bacterial large subunit ribosomal RNA", at positions 2526 to 2632 of the family's 2925-position model. The record is from Rfam by way of RNAcentral. Lineage: Eukaryota; Viridiplantae; Streptophyta; Magnoliopsida; Rosales; Moraceae.